CUCUUACGGGAGGCAGCAGUGGGGAUUUUUGGUCAAUGGGGGCAACCUUGAUCCAGCAAUGCCGCGUGUGUGAAGAAGGCCUUUGGGUUGUAAAGCUCUUUUGUCCGGAAAGAAAUCGCUCUGGUUAUUACCUGGGGUGGAUGACGGUACCGGAAGAAUAAGCACCGGCUAAUUACGUGCCAGCAGCCGCGGUAAUUCGUAGGGUGCGAGCGUUAAUCGGAAUUACUGGGUGUAAAGCGUGCGCAGGCGGUUUUGUAAGACAGGCGUGAAAUCCCCGGGCUCAACUUGGGAAUUGCGCAGGUGACUGCAAGGCUAGAGAGAGUCAGAGGGGGGUAGAAUACCAAGAGAAGCAGAGAAAAGCGAAGAGAUAUGGAGGAAAG
This 380-nucleotide ribosomal RNA is filed under the name uncultured Ralstonia sp. RNAcentral's name for it is "bacterial SSU rRNA". It matches the Rfam family "Bacterial small subunit ribosomal RNA", at positions 336 to 708 of the family's 1533-position model. Lineage: Bacteria; Pseudomonadati; Pseudomonadota; Betaproteobacteria; Burkholderiales; Burkholderiaceae. The record is from RNAcentral.